GACGAACGCUGGCGGCGUGCCUAAUACAUGCAAGUCGAGCGGACGAAUCGAAAGCUUGCUUUUGAUUCGUUAGCGGCGGACGGGUGAGUAACACGUGGGCAACCUGCCCUGUAGACGGGGAUAACACCGAGAAAUCGGUGCUAAUACCGGAUAACACGAAAUGUCGCAUGACGUUUCGUUGAAAGACGGCGCAAGCUGCCGCUACAGGAUGGGCCCGCGGCGCAUUAGCUAGUUGGUGAGGUAACGGCUCACCAAGGCGACGAUACGUAGCCGACCUGAGAGGGUGAUUGGCCACACUGGGACUGAGACACGGCCCAGACUCCUACGGGAGGCAGCAGUAGGGAAUCUUCCGCAAUGGACGAAAGUCUGACGGAGCAACGCCGCGUGAGCGAAGAAGGCCUUCGGGUCGUAAAGCUCUGUUGUUAGGGAAGAACAAGUAACGCAGUAACUGGCGUUACCGUGACGGUACCUAACGAGAAAGCCACGGCUAACUACGUG
This 498-nucleotide ribosomal RNA is filed under the name uncultured bacterium. RNAcentral's name for it is "partial 16S ribosomal RNA". It matches the Rfam family "Bacterial small subunit ribosomal RNA", at positions 28 to 507 of the family's 1533-position model. The record is from RNAcentral.